Molecule: ribosomal RNA, 253 nt
Filed under: uncultured bacterium
Lineage: Bacteria
Description: partial 16S ribosomal RNA
Rfam family: Bacterial small subunit ribosomal RNA
Source: RNAcentral
UACGGGGGGUGCGAGCGUUGUCCGGAAUCACUGGGCGUAAAGGGCGCGUAGGUGGCGUCGUAAGUCUGUGGUGAAAGCCCGGAGCUCAACUCCGGGUCUGCCGCGGAUACUGCGAGGCUUGAGUGCUGUAGAGGGGGGUAGAAUGCCGGGUGUAGCGGUGGAAUGCGUAGAGAUGCGGAGGAACACCGAUGGCGAAGGCAGCCCCCUGGGCUGACACUGACGCUCAGGCACGAAAGCGUGGGGAGCAAACAGG